This 371-nucleotide ribosomal RNA is filed under the name uncultured Rikenellaceae bacterium. Its description in RNAcentral is "bacterial SSU rRNA". It matches the Rfam family "Bacterial small subunit ribosomal RNA", at positions 1012 to 1382 of the family's 1533-position model. The record is from RNAcentral. Lineage: Bacteria; Pseudomonadati; Bacteroidota; Bacteroidia; Bacteroidales; Rikenellaceae.
UGCGCCAGCGGAUGGCCGGUUGCGAGGUGCUGCAUGGUUGUCGUCAGCUCGUGCCGUGAGGUGUCGGGUUAAGUCCCAUAACGAGCGCAACCCCUACCUGCUAGUUGCCAGCGGGUCAUGCCGGGGACUCUAGCGGAACUGCCAGCGUAAGCUGCGAGGAAGUGGGGAUGACGUCAAAUCAGCACGGCCCUUACGUCCAGGGCUACACACGUGUUACAAUGGCCAGUACAGAGGGCAGCCACCCCGCGAGGGGGCGCUAAUCCUAAAAGCUGGUCCCAGUUCGGAUCGGAGUCUGCAACCCGACUCCGUGAAGCUGGAUUCGCUAGUAAUCGCGCAUCAGCCACGGCGCGGUGAAUACGUUCCCGGGCCUU